GAGCGGAACGAGUUAUCUGAACCUUCGGGGGACGAUAACGGCGUCGAGCGGCGGACGGGUGAGUAAUGCCUAGGAAAUUGCCCUGAUGUGGGGGAUAACCAUUGGAAACGAUGGCUAAUACCGCAUGAUGCCUACGGGCCAAAGAGGGGGACCUUCGGGCCUCUCGCGUCAGGAUAUGCCUAGGUGGGAUUAGCUAGUUGGUGAGGUAAGGGCUCACCAAGGCGACGAUCCCUAGCUGGUCUGAGAGGAUGAUCAGCCACACUGGAACUGAGACACGGUCCAGACUCCUACGGGAGGCAGCAGUGGGGAAUAUUGCACAAUGGGCGCAAGCCUGAUGCAGCCAUGCCGCGUGUGUGAAGAAGGCCUUCGGGUUGUAAAGCACUUUCAGUCGUGAGGAAGGUGGUGUAGUUAAUAGCUGCAUUAUUUGACGUUAGCGACAGAAGAAGCACCGGCUAACUCCGUGCCAGCAGCCGCGGUAAUACGGAGGGUGCGAGCGUUAAUCGGAAUUACUGGGCGUAAAGCGCAUGCAGGUGGUUUGUUAAGUCAGAUGUGAAAGCCCGGGGCUCAACCUCGGAAUAGCAUUUGAAACUGGCAGACUAGAGUACUGUAGAGGGGGGG
Molecule: ribosomal RNA, 618 nt
Filed under: Vibrio sp.
Lineage: Bacteria; Pseudomonadati; Pseudomonadota; Gammaproteobacteria; Vibrionales; Vibrionaceae
Description: bacterial SSU rRNA
Rfam family: Bacterial small subunit ribosomal RNA
Source: RNAcentral